This is a long non-coding RNA of Crotalus tigris (Tiger rattlesnake), 6410 nucleotides long. RefSeq lists it as uncharacterized. NCBI's taxonomy places the organism in Eukaryota, Metazoa, Chordata, Lepidosauria, Squamata, Viperidae. The transcript has 2 exons. The record is from RefSeq and is a predicted model, not a curated record.
CCAUAUUGUUAGUCCCUUUUCUGGAUUUUCCAUUGACUGUAUUUGUUGAUCAGUUGAGUCUUCUGUCAUAAUAUUUAAUUGUUCCACUUUUUCUGUUAUAUUCUGUGUAGUUAAUUUUUUAAUUGUAGUCAGAGUUUGGGUUCAUAUCUCUGGGCUGUUAUCUUGUUCUUUUCUGUAACCUCUUAUUUCAUCAGUAGCUGUUAGAAUAGUUUGAUGAAUUGCUUUCAAAAUAAAGAGAAUCUGUUCCUGAUCUUCAUCCAUAUUCUCUUAGUAGUGUAUUUGGUUAAAAGCUUUACAAUCAGAAUGCAGGAAAAAAAAUUGUCACCGAGUGUGGAACACAGCUGGGCUUCAUAGCUAAUGUUUUAAGGUUACAUAGGUCUUAUCUAUUGUCUGGGCUGCUGGCCAAGUCUCUCUUAAGCAAGCAAUAACAAACUGUAAUAUCAGGUUUAGCCACAAGAUGUUGCCCCUAAUUUAAAAUUUUCUUUUGAAUCCAAUGUUUUUAUAAUCUUUUCAGUUUUGCUUCUUUUUUAUAAGUAAAGGCCCAGAUCUUCAGUAAGAAUAGAAACUCUUUUAGUCCACAAACUUUAAGAAAUAAGAUUCCAAUUAGGAACCGGUUAUUCUUGCAAUGUUUUAAACUCCCCUGGAUAGUCAGUCGCCGCUGUUUCUAGACGGAGAGAUAAAAUCUCCCCUAUCCACAGGGGGAAAGUACUUUAAGCAGCUUAUUCAGGAAAAAGUAGGAUUUAAGAGAGGUAGAUCUCACCCAGUCUUGUCCACGCUACUUUAUAAUUGCCUGGUGGUAAGUGUGACUUCAGCUGUCUACAGCCUAGUGACAAGCCAUAUUGCUAUGGCCGGUCCUUCGUCCGCCGGUUUGGAGGGUUGCCCCGGAUUGAGCAGAAGAGCUACCACCCUCCCGCGAUCAGGUGGGGAUCCCCUCCUUGCUGGUCACCCCUACAGGGUGACUUUCAACCCUUUCCAGGGUCCCCCAGUGAUGUGAAACUGGACAUGGAAGUCGGAGCUCGCCUUCCAGAUGUCCAUGGCAGCUGCGUCGGCAAACCGGAAGUCUGAUCGUGAUCUUUAUUAUUUACUGAACUUAUUUAAUUCAGUUUAGAUGUUGUCCAACUCCCAAAUAAACAUUAAAAAUUCAAUACAGAUCAAAGCAAGAUGGGAUCCACUCACUUUACAUAUGAAAACAGAUAAAAAGGCAUCUAACAAGGGUUCCAUCGAACUUAAGGCCAGAGAAAAACCAGAUCGUCAAGGCCUUAUGUGUAGUAAUCAGUGCUCAGUCAUUGCAGGGUGCAAAAAAUGGCUGCUCUCUACGCAGCUUUUAUUGUUUAUAUAGAGUUUCCAAGAAGCAAAGGUUUCUACAUGACAAUAGCAUUUCAUUGGCUAAAAUCCUAUCCAAUCCUCAAGAAUAUAGAAGCCAGAGGCCAUAAACAGGGAAUAGUAAUGGCAAUAACAUCUUUGUUGUUUGCGUACUAGCUGUUAUCAGACUGGCAAGGUCACACAGACCUGCGUACUUUCACAUCGCCAUGGCGAUGUGAAGAAAUGAGAUAGAUGCAGAGAGGAGGGGCACACAGGCUUUGGAGGGGCAGUUUUCCACACACGACCUUUGCCUGUCUCUCACCUCUACACUAAUGGAAUGUCAACAGGAUAGGCCAUAAUGAUUUCAAUGGGGAAUUUCCGAAAACAGGAACCACAACAGAGGAGGCAUCACCGCAUAUUCUGGCCAUGCAGAGAUAGACAAUUCCUGAAAUAAUUAGCCUCUCUGCCAUGUAGGAUUGAUGGCCAGCACUUUAUAUCACUCCCAGAAGCAUACUGGCAAAAUAGUGCAGCUUAUGAAGCAGCAAUAUCACAUGGGCAUUCUGAGGCAUAUCCAUUAUUGCCCACACUGCUGCAUUGCAAAGUUUCAGAGUUUUCAAGGGCAGUCCAAUCUAUAGUACAUUGCAGUACUUGAGCUGUGAGGUGACCAGGGCAUGAGUGAUUGAAAGACUUCCCAGUCUGAGAAAGCACCAUGCCAGAUGCAGCAUAUAAGGGCCCCCUUGGCUACAGCUGCCACCUGCUUUUGAGCAGCAUCUGAGUCCGAAAGGUUCCCCAGAUUCUUGAAUUUAAGAGUAUAGACAGAAAACUCUUGGGUCCAGGAGGCCCUAGUAUCCAUAGCCAUUGAGACUUCAAAGGGAUUGAGUGUGUCAGUUCCAGGAUGAACUGCCUCCAGGCUGAAUCAGAACCUCAACAGCAUCAUUUGGCCAAUUGAGGUUGAUAAAUACAAUGGUGCCAUCUGCAUAUUAAUACAAAAUCCCAACCAAUGGAUGACCUCAUCCAGCAACUUCAUGUACAGGUUAAACAGGUGGAAAGAGAACAUUAACCCUGUGGUACCUCACUUAACCUCUCCCCCACUUUCUUCCAACACCAAUUGAAUUGGCUGUGAAGAAAGAAACACUGUACCUUAAGGUGCACUUAAUUCCCAACCCCCACAGCCAGCUGAGAAAGAUACUAUGGUUAAUAUAUUAAAGGCCACUGAGAUAUCAAGGAGCACAAAGAUGGAGGUGCCACUUUCAUCUUGGAUCUGCAAUAGCUCAUCAACAGGUGCAAUCAAAAUUUUCUCAAUUCAAUCCCAUUCUAGUAUCUGUCUGAAAUCGAUCUAAAUAAUAUGCUUACUCAAGGGUCUUAUGCAACUGCAACUGCAAUCUGACUACCUUCUCAACAACCUUCCCCCCGCCCAAAAGAAAAGUUGGAGACAGGAUGGUAAUUUAAAAUCAAUGGGACCAAGGUCAGCCUCUUGAGCAGAUUGAAGACAGCAGCUUCUAUCUCAACAAGACCAACAUAGUAGUAUGAACCCAACAGGAGGUACCUCCCGGACCUCCUUCACAGUUCAGCAAGAUCUAGUUCAAUAACUAGGUGAAUAUGGUGGAUUAUGUCGAAGGGGGAAGUGAUAAGAUGAACUACAGCAGAUGUGUAGGCCCAUAGGCCACAUGCAGCCCUGGACCCUUCGCAAUGCGGCCCCACAAGAUUGUAAACUUCUAACAUUAUUAUGUGAUUUAGAUACAUUAACUAUAUUAAAUAUUUUAUAUGUGGCCCAAGACAAUUCCUCUUCACUCAUUGUAGCCCAGGCAAGCCAAAAUUUUGUAGACCCGUGGACUACAAUGAAGCAGCAGUUCUCCAGGAGAGAACACUUUCCAAGAAACAGAGUGAGACAAGAGACAACACAGUCCAAAGUUGGAUUGAUGAAAGGAGAUGUUUAUGAUAGAGACUGCCUAGAAUCUUCCACCUUAUUUCUUCAGGCUCCAUUGCUGCUUGUCUGACUAUAGUCUGUGGCUCUUCCACUUGUCUGCCAAGGUCAUCCCUACAGACCAUUGCUGCUGGACAGCUAUCAGCAGCUGUAAUAAUGUUGGGGAUAUAUUGAUAUUUCAUCACAUUUACUGGGGUGAUAUGAUUCCAGAUGUGAACUCUUACAAGUCACGUUCACUUCAGGUUUUUCUCCAACAGCACUAUGGGCAUCCAUUCUGGUGCUUUAUCUCUCAGAGCAUCUCAGUUAGGUACUUCUUGGGAUUGGUAUGUAGCAAAUGGCAUAAUUAUGGGGGGGGGGGGUGCACUACAGUCCAAGGCCCAGCCAUCUGCCCACUCCAGAUAACAAGCAAGGCCUUGGUUGAGCCUUCUUACUGGACUCUCACUAUCCUUCAGCAUCUAUAAGAGUGCAGAUGGCAAUCUUCUUAAAGAGAAUGAAUCAAUGUUGUCUAUUGUUCAGUCUCAUAUGUAAUUGAUGUCUUUUAUUGUUUGAUCAUCAGCUUUGUGAUGCAUCACAUAUAUACUCAAUGUAUGUAUCAUUUGUAUCAUUUAACAAGACAUGAUACUUCUCUCCUUAAUAAAUGCUUUUUGCUUUGCCUGAAUUACUUAGUGAUUUGUAUAUUCAGAUGGGUAAAGCAAAGGUAAAAGUGUCUCUCUCAGAUUCAGGGAUCAAGUUCUUAUCAGCUCCACAUUAGACUCAGGCUUAGGUUUUGAGGCAACAGCAUCUGACGGAAGUAUUUUAAAGAUCCAUAAUAUCCUUCACCAUUUUUAUUAUUGUAGAAGCUUUGAAAGCAUUAAAUUAAACUUAAAGGAUUGACUGGACAUACAAUCAAUAUCUGUUUAUUUUAUUGAUAUUUUUUUUAUUUUAAUGCUUUCAGACAUCCCCAAUAAAUCUUAUUUUACCAAAGUAAAGGAUUUAUCCUAUUCCAGCAUCGGGUCUUGUUUAGCUUUUUUAAACUGGAUAGUGUUUGAAUCCGCUUUGGGGUGGGACAAUAACUUUGGGACCAAAGUGUGCCCCUCCCACCAAUCUUCUCCACUGCUGGUUCUUUGUUUUCAGCUCUUUCAUGUAUAUUUUGAUCCCUUUUUCUUUGUUGUAAAGCAUCUCUUCUAAAUUGCCCUGGAAGGGAAUUCAGUAGAGAGAUAAACAGUUAUUCUGUUAUUUAACACAGCAUCUUCUGUUGAGACUACAUCUAUUGGACUUGUCUAUUUUGUUUGCAUAUAAACGCAUGCCUUGAUUUGAAAGAGAAGAUGGAAACUGUUCAGUAUGAUUUGUCAUUGGAAUUCUGCAGUUUGUCAGUUAAGGAGUGGCAGUUGGAAUGUCCAGUGACAGUUGAAAAUGGACGUCUGGGAGAAGAAUGAAAGAGACGCUGGUCAUUAGGCAUUGGACAUAAAGAGAGAUAAUUGGUUACCAUUUCAGGACUUUUCAAUUUUUACUUCAAAUAUAAUGACCUACCAGUGACUUUUCCCAGCAGAACCAAAUGUGAAGGAUGUUCAGAAUUAUUACGCAACAACUUCUGGAAAGCCACUGGUUCUUCAAUAUUGGAAUCAUGAAAAGUAAGUGAAUUCCUAUUCAAAUAAAUUAUUAUAGAUUCUUUAUAAUGGGAUCUAACGGAAUACAUGGCUGUUCUUUUAAAGGAUUUUUCUUUUUAGAUUUGCAGAAGCCAAAACUGAGUUUUAUGCUAAAGUCACUGGGUGACUACUGCUGUUAAAUACACAAAUAUCAACACAGCUGAUGUCAUCGAUAUGGUUCAUAUAGUCAAGAUGAUUGAUAGACUAAGCUGUCAAUGAUGUCAUCAACAUGGAUGAUAGACUAAGUCAAUUGAGAAUGAGAAGUAAUGUAGAUCCUCAGGUUACAAAGUAAGCGGCCCGGAUUUCUUGCUUAUAGUUAUGUGAACUUUUAUUGGUAUUCUAAUACCAAUAAAAGUUUAAUAGUUUAAUACUAAAUGAUAUAAACUGUUCAGUUUGUACUGUAGAAAGAUUUAUUAAACUAUGUUAAUGGUGGGGAAAGGAUUUCUUAACUUUUGACAUUCAUAUCUGAUAUUUGUGUACAUCUCAUGAAGUUCUGUAACUGUUAACAUAACACUCUGCUUUUUUGUUGCCUAUUGGCUAUUUGACUGGUAUUUUAGUGCCAAUACAUUUUAUUUAAGCCUUUUAAAAUGUACUGCUUUUUGUUAAGCAACUUAAAUAGUUUUAGGAUGUUAUUUUUCAGAUUUUUGAAUGGGGAAAAGCAGCAUUUAUUUUUUUACUUGUAAAUCACUCAGGUCACUUAGAAAGUAAGAUGGAUGGUGUAUAAAUUUGAUUAUUAAAUAAAGACAUUUUAUAUUAUUAAGAAAUCAAAUGGGAGGGAAAUUUACUCCCAAUGGGAUGAAUGGUGAAAGUCUUUUACACCUCUAGAUUAUUCAUGUGCAAGUAUCUAUAUAAUAGUGUAAAUGUAUGCUGUGCUAUUUUGAUUUGAUUUGGUUUCCUAAAUUCAUCUAUGUGACCAAUAAAUUACUUAACGGGCAACUACCAAAUGAAAAAGAAUGAUCACAAAAUGGUCAGCCUGGAUUAAUUGGGCCCAAUUAAGUACUUAUUUACUUAGUAUGUUGGGAUGAUUAUAUGCAUUACUUCAGAGCUACUGAACAUUGGAGAAUAUGACAUGUUGAAAGUAAGGAUGGCAUGUAUCUUGACAUAGUAUGGACUGGAAUCUGAGAACCUAUAUCCAAACACCAGAUAUAUCCACCAUGAAAAAGUCCAAUGAAGACCUGAGGAUGCUGCCCAAAGAAAUUUGGGAGGGAUCAAGAUCUAAUAUCCUUGGGAGUCAUUGCGGCAGUCCCGAUGAUCAUUUUCAUGAUUUUUGCCUUCUGGAAUGUUGUCCAAACUAUAUCACAUAAAAAAAUUUACUCAGCCUUUUUAAUCUUGGAGGCCUUCUGAGUUUAACAGGAAUCAUAGUCUUAAUUUCAAUUUCCUGGAACAUGUAUUCCACCUUGGUUCACACAAUCGUUAUGUUUCCUAAGCCUUUGAAAAUGCCUACUUUUUUAGAGCACCAGGAGGGUUGGAGCUGCUAUUUAUGUUGGUUGUAUUGCUGCAAUUUUAUUUCUGGUGAAUGGCAUUAUGAUUAUCUGUAAUAAAAGCAUUUUGCAAAUACA